CUGGCGAUGCUUUAAAUGCAAGUCGAACGGUAACAGGGAGCUUGCUCCGCUGACGAGUGGCGAACGGGUGAGUAAUGCAUCGGAACAUGCCCAGUCAUGGGGGAUAACUACGCGAAAGCGUAGCUAAUACCGCAUACGCCCUGAGGGGGAAAGUGGGGGAUCUUAGGACCUCACGUGAUUGGAGUGGCCGAUGUCAGAUUAGCUAGUUGGUGAGGUAAAGGCUCACCAAGGCGACGAUCUGUAGCGGGUCUGAGAGGAUGAUCCGCCACACUGGGACUGAGACACGGCCCAGACUCCUACGGGAGGCAGCAGUGGGGAAUUUUGGACAAUGGGCGCAAGCCUGAUCCAGCCAUGCCGCGUGAGUGAAGAAGGCCUUCGGGUUGUAAAGCUCUUUCGCAAGGGAAGAAAUCGGCAAGGCUAAUAUCUUUGUCGGAUGACGGUACCUUGACAAGAAGCACCGGCUAACUACGUGCCAGCAGCCGCGGUAAUACGUAGGGUGCGAGCGUUAAUCGGAAUUACUGGGCGUAAAGCGUGCGCAGGCGGUUGUGUAAGACAGGUGUGAAAUCCCCGGGCUUAACCUGGGAACUGCGCUUGUGACUGCACGGCUAGAGUACGGCAGAGGGGGGUGGAAUUCCACGUGUAGCAGUGAAAUGCGUAGAUAUGUGGAGGAACACCGAUGGCGAAGGCAGCCCCCCUGGGCCUGUACUGACGCUCAUGCACGAAAGCGUGGGGAGCAAACAGGAUUAGAUACCCUGGUAGUCCACGCCCUAACGAUGUCAACUAGUUGUUCGGAGAGGUACUUUCUGAGUACGCAGCUAAC
This 820-nucleotide ribosomal RNA is filed under the name uncultured bacterium. Its description in RNAcentral is "bacterial SSU rRNA". It matches the Rfam family "Bacterial small subunit ribosomal RNA", at positions 36 to 856 of the family's 1533-position model. The record is from RNAcentral.